AAUAGGUGUAGUUUUGCACUAUUUAUCUUUAACAUUUCAUCGUUUGUUUUAUUUGAAUAAGUUUUAUGAUUACUAUUUUAUUAUUAUUAGAUGAUAAAAUAUGAAUAGUACUUUAUGUGUGACUAAUUUUUUUUAAAUUUUUAAUAAAUUUUUUAAAUAAGACGGACGGUCAAAUAUUGGACACGGAUUUUCACGUCUGCAUUUAUU
Non-coding RNA from Oryza glumipatula, 207 nucleotides. The record is from Rfam. NCBI's taxonomy places the organism in Eukaryota, Viridiplantae, Streptophyta, Magnoliopsida, Poales, Poaceae.